GCUUUGCUGCUCGUGUGAAGUAGCCUCGUCUCAACCCCUCGUAAGAACCACCCCGUGGCGAGGUGACGUCUAGCGGCGAAAUAAGGAACGAACGAGUGGAGAAAAGGAAUUUUGUGUGACGUUAAGUCCGUAUGAAACCCACGUCGUUGCGCCGGCUAUAGCGUCCGGAUUUUGCACAACAAUGCAACUGGGAUUUGCACUGCGAACGAGUUUUUACUGUCAUCAGUCAUCAGGCAAACGGUCGACGGGGGUGAGCACAGAGCGGAGCAGCCAGAGCCGUACUUUUAAGCACAAGAGUGGGGGUUCUGGAUCAAUGCCGAGGCCACGCCUCCUUCGUCUUACAUCUUGCACCCCGUGUCACCCCCCCGAGCACCGUGGGCACCUUCCUUUCCUUUUGCUUUUCCACCC
Molecule: long non-coding RNA, 408 nt
Organism: Camponotus floridanus (Florida carpenter ant)
Lineage: Eukaryota; Metazoa; Arthropoda; Insecta; Hymenoptera; Formicidae
Exons: 3
Source: RefSeq, a predicted model, not a curated record